UUUUUUUUUUUGUUUUUUGUUUUUAUCGACAUAGUGGAGAUCUUUGCUGCGUUAUGAUAACUGACAAGACACGAGUCAUUUCGUUUGAAGCUCGGAAGAGCAUAACAUCUUCCAUUGCAAGAUGAUGAGGAGAGGAUCAUUCCUCUAUCUCCUAGUGCACAAGAGCACUCUGUCUAGGUAGGUGUACAGUUGAUUAAUAAAAACUGUUAACGUUUUGGAGGAAAAAAAAAGAUUAAUUCAGAGAGCCUAACAAGUCACAACAAUGAUGCUUUUUCUUUUUUUUUUUUUUUGGGACAAAACUGAAUUAUCACCCCAUAUAAAACAAAAAAAAAAGAUAAUUAGCCUUGUUAUUUAAAAAAAAAAAAUCUGUAAAAUUCUUUGAACCCCCAAAAAAAAAAGGGUCAUUAGAAAGAACAAAACUCUUUCCCGAUGGGAUGAGAAAUGGAGAAACAGAUUAGUAACUAUUGAUGCAUUGCAGACCAUGUUCAUUAUUUUAUUUACACAUAUCGAAGAUGAUGAUAGAAUUUAACUAUAUUGAUGCUCUAAUAAUGAGACGUCAACUAGCCUAAAAAUAUCCGUACCUUGCUAGCUAGCAGAGGAUUAAAAAAAUAGCAAAUUUCCAAACUGAUAAAAAUGAUACUCCACAAAAUAUUUAUUACAUUAUCUUUGCACUCUUUUUUCACGAGGAGUAAUUUUUUUUUUUUUUUUUUUUGCAUGAGUUGGAGAUAUAUUUAUUUGAAAUUCUCAGGAUAUAUAUUUUAUAUUUGACAUAAUUUCAGACGGGCUCAUAGAAACAAAAUCUGUACUUUUUUGUACAUAAAAAUAACGGAAAAAAAGAUCCACCCAAAUUAUUUAUAUCUGACAACUUUUUUCUGCUUUAUUGCGUGGACCAAGUGUAACAGAACAUUUAGAUUCCGUUUACAGGCCUCGGCCUAUGAACUGUUGAACAACCCAUUCCCAAACAUGGGCCCAUCUUUGAAAGUAACCCAAGGGACCAAAAAAAGGUUCUUCUGAUACGAAUUAUAUCUCCCAGUCCCACCAAAAGGAUGAUGAUAAAAAUAAUUAGAGUGAAUCUUCGUGCUAAAAAAGAAAAAUUCUACUCUAACUGACAUAUAAUUGUUGUGAAGUUGAUAUCAAAUUAGGAAAUUUUCACUUGAUACAUUCUAACGUUCACAAGGAAAAUCGGGGAUAUUUGUGUCCAAAAUAGAUUUCUUUGUCAUGGCACAAGGAAAUGGCCUCAUUUGCCUUGGCGAGAUUAAUAUCUUUCCCAACUUUUAACUUGUUAUAGUGCACGGUAUAUCCUUCCUGCACACAUGAUGCUGCGCUCCAUAAUUCAGCUGACAAGCAUGUCGGAUGCCCAAUUUUAUCUUCUUUCUUUUUUUUUUUUUUUUUUUUUUUUUUUUGUUGCUGCAGAAGGAGAAGCCUAAAGAAGCUGUACAAAAGAGACUAGCAUAUUUAUGGCUCGAUUAGAUCAAAAGGGUGUUCUAACACUUUUUUGGAUUUUUUCACUGUAGAUGGGGUUCGAACUCCUGACCUACGGUCUAAAGAGAGAUUUAAUCCCUUUUUGGUGGUCACUGAGCCAAACCUCGGUGGUUCCAAUUUUACUUGCCUAUAGCAAGCGUAGAUUCUGGUUGCAGAAUUCAUGGAGGCUUAUUACAUAUUCUCCCACAGUCUUGGUAUCAAACUGAACUUCACGUACUAGUACUAUUAGCAAAUUCAUGUUGUUAUACAUAUAUUGUUGGUAUAUAUAUUUAGCUAAAGAAAAAGUUGCACAGGACAUAAAUAUGUGAAAUAACUAGCAACAUCAUAAACAUGAAAUCUAAGAAAAUAUUCAAUAACGCAUAAAUUAGUUUUGCUGAUGACAAAAAGAGUUUCAAUUUCAAAAAAAAAAAAUUAAUUCUUGGAAAAUUGAAAAUUUUGAAAUGAGAGGGUAUUAAACGAGGCCCAAUUUCCAUUUGGUUGGUUGGCUGGCUUUUAAUGGGUUCACAAGAAAACAGGGCUGAUCCUAUUUCCAGGUGGGCGCGGAGUUCGGAAACGGAAAUUGUAUAUUAAUUCAAUGAGCAAAAACUAGCCGUUGCCCGGGUACUUUCCCAAAAUUACAAACCAAAAACAAAGAACAAAAACCCCUUUCCGUAGAUGUCUCAGGAGUUCUAUCCCUUCCCAUUUCUUUAUCAGAAGCCCCUGAGAUUGUUCGUCCAAGGCAACAUACCCAGACCCACAUGCCGUACUAUUCUUGAACGCUAUUUUAUGAGAUCUGGAGGCUUUUCUUUCUCUUUCCAUUUUCAAGAACUUGGUGGGCUAACUCCAAUUGUAAGUCAAUUUCAUUGAAAAGGAAAUUUCUUCUUCUUUUUCUUGAUCAGGAUUUCAUUUCCCGUUGUGGGUUUUUUUAAAAUAGUUGAUAUUUCAGUCACUGCGUAUUUUUUCUAAUUUUGGUUUACUUGCGAAAAUGCUUACUGUCUUUAGUGUGUUUGAGGGUUUAGCGAUUUUUAUUUUGCAAAGAGAUUUUCAUGUUUCUUAUUUUUUGUUGCUUAAUCUCUUUAAAAAAGAAUAAAACUGUAGUUUAAACUUUCUUGGUUCUUUCGUUUCUACAUCCUUGAACAAUUUUUUUGUUAUUUUUCUUUAAUAAUGAUUUUGGUAUGAGCACUGCAUAUAUAUAAUUUAGUGUUAUGCUUACAUUUCUGAGUAAUUUUUUUGUGAGUCAAUUGAUUAUUAUAGUCUCCAACGUGCAUUUUUCUGUUAAUUAAGUAAGGGAAUUUGUGAACAGAACGCUUGAAUAUGAGAAUUGGGACCCCAAUAACGACGCCAUCUUCAAAGACCAGGAGGACUCCUUCAUGUACGCCUGGCGGUGGUCCAAAAGCUCAGGAAGAGAAGAUACUUGUGACUGUUAGGGUGAGGCCACUUAGUCCCAAAGAGCAAGCUGCAUAUGAUCUUAUUGCUUGGGAAUUCAGUGAUGAACAUACGAUCAUUUCAAAGAAUUUGACUCAUGAGAGACCUACUGGGCCAUAUACUUUUGGUAUGGAAACCGAUGUGGAUGAGAUAUGUUGAUGAUAUAUUUGUGCUUGAAGUUCUGGAUAUUAAUGAAUUUGCUGUUAAACUUAUGGCAGAUAAAGUGUUUGAUCCGUCCUGUUCGAAUCAGAAAGUUUACGAGGAAGGUGCUAGAGAUGUUGCUCUCUCAGUUCUAAGUGGAAUUAAUGGUAAUAGGGAUUGUUAAGUUUAAUUCAGUAUCUUGAAUGUUGUUGAAUUGCUAGAUUCCAGAGUCAACUUUCCAUUGCCGAUCUUCGGAAAAAGCACUUCAUCGGUUAAAAAAAAAAACCCAAAAUUGUCUUUGGACAAUGCUGAGCAUGUGUGCAUAUAAAGAUAUGUGCAUGGAUGUCUAUAAUGAAAAGGAGACGAAGGCUCGUACAAGAUACUUUUGAUUGCUAACUUUGGGUUGAGAGUUAGUGAUGUUGUUGUUUAAGAACAAGAUGCCCUUUGAUAGGAAAUUUAAAAUCCAAAGACUAUGGAGUUUUAACGUUUUAGAUUUCACAUUUAGAAGUCUUUUAUGCUCCUCUUGAUUCUCAGUCAAUGAGGAUCUGAAGAUGAUAAUGAAAAUCUUUCUCUCUCUCUCAGCUUAGACCUGGGAACUGAACUCUUACCAUCCUGAACAAAGAUAUGGAAUUAACAAAAGGUAGAAAAUGGAAAUAGAAGAAAAAAGGGCAGGAACACUUUAAAAGUUAAUGACAGCUGCAGACCUUAAAACACCAAGAAAAUGACUUGAUUCUGUUUUGUGUUUUCAGAGUUGAUGCACCUGUUGAAGUCUUGCUAUUGUACUUUGCUGGAGCAAAACAAUGUUGUCAUAGUUUCAUCUGUUGAAAGCUGUAGUUUUGCCCAUGUUGUUAUGCUUGGUUCUAUAAGUUAUGCAUUUAAUAAAAUCUGGCUUUUAUCUUGCAGCAACAAUAUUUGCAUAUGGGCAGACCAGUAGCGGGAAGACAUUUACCAUGAGGGGAAUAACAGAAAAUGCCAUUAAGGACAUUUACGAGCAUAUCAGCGUUGUAAGCUAUUCUUCCUUCACCAAAAUCUGAAGCAGCAUUUUGUAAUAAUGCAUGGUGUAGCUUUAGAAAUUUUCCUGUAAAGCAUUUUGUUGAAGGUGAAUUCCUAUGUGGCAUAUUCUGACUAAAUAGUUUAUUUCACCCUCCAGACGCCAGAAAGAGAGUUUGUGCUUAAGUUUUCUGCUCUUGAAAUCUAUAACGAGACUGUGGUAGAUCUCCUAAACCGCGAUUCUGGCUCCCUGAGGCUUUUAGACGAUCCUGAGGUAAACAAGUUGUUUUUAGAUAACAGAACUUGUUGAAUUUGUUUUUUCCUUGAUCUCAUACAUUCAAUAUUAAUCUCUUAAAACAAGUUUAAAUUGUUCCUUUUUUUAUUCCAUCUAAACAGAAGGGCACUAUUGUAGAGAAACAAAUUGAGGAAGCUGUAAAGGAUGCCCAACACUUGAGGCACUUAAUUGCUAUUUGUGAAGGUAGGAGAUUCUGCUGUACUCAUACUGAAUAGCCUGUCAUAUGACUGGUGCUACAUGUGUGGAAAUACUCUUGCUUCUUUCCCUUGAUGAUCUUGACGCUCUUAGCAUGUCAUUUUCUCCUUGAUCACCAACAUUGCUAGUAAGCACAAACUAUUACUAUGCCUGAUCUGAAUUCUGCAUUGGCAAACUGUGUUCACUUGCAGCUCAGAGACAGGUAGGAGAAACUGCCUUGAAUGAUAAAAGCUCAAGAUCACAUCAGAUAAUCAAGCUGGUAAGGAGAAUUUAGUAAUUUGGGAUGCUAUUUUACCACUGUUAUCUUGAUUUUUCUAUUGUUAACUUCUGAGUUGUCAGUUACGUUCGCCAGUAUUAGCAUUGCUUCUACUUAGCAGAGACAGAAAUGUCAUCCUCUAAAACCCCCUUUCUGAAUAAAUAAAUUUUGUAGUUGACUUCUCUUUACUAGUAAAGCAAGAGCAUUCUUGCUUACCUGGUUUUCAGUGGAAGGAUAUACUUUUCUUCCAUUAAAAACUCAAUUUUGUAGUACCCCUUCAAUACUGGUGAAAUCUCUUGAGAAUUCAUUUUUUUCUCUCGUGAAUCUAGUGAUGAUCAGUAUUCUUUCAUAUUUUAAAAGCCUCAGCCCUCUUUACAAAUUCUUUUUAGAUAUUCACAAUGUGGUUGGUCUGUACUAGUUCUUUCUAGUUCGAGACUUCCCUUUUUAUUGGUUUGUGGGAUUGCAUGUUCUCAAACUAAUCCAUCAACCUCUCAAAAUUUUACAUUAUUUGUAUUAUACUGUUUCAUGUGGUAGGAUGUCUUUUUCUCGUGUGUGACCUGUUAAAUAAAGUUUGAUUGAGUAUCUGUCAUGGUUGUGAUGUCUAAUCCAAUACUCUUUGAUAUCCAGACAAUUGAGAGUAGUCUUCAGGAAAGUACUGGAUCCUUGAGAUCUUUUUUAGCAAGUCUGGUAUGCAUCUCUUUCCCUUGAUUCGGAACUUUCUUUGGGGUAUAUCGCUGCACAUAUCUCACUUCAAACUCUUUUUCCUUGCAGUAUCUAGUUGAUCUUGCUGGAAGUGAACGUGCUUCUCAAACAAAUGCAGAUGGUACAAGGUUCAAGGAAGGGAGCCAUAUUAAUAGAAGCCUGCUGACUUUGACAACUGUAAUUAGAAAGCUAAGGUAGCAGCUCAGGGAUAGGAAAUACUGGUAGUUUAGCCUUUUGAUUUGAAAGUUCUCUGUAUGAUCUUGUUGGUUAGCUGAUAAGAGUUUUUCAAACAUAUCAAGCUAUUUCUCUUGCUGAUAUGAUGAGUCUAGGCAUUCUUUUAUGCUGAUUUUAGAAUCAUUAGAGCUAGAUAAGUACAAAGGCAACAAAUGAAUAUAAUCUUUUAUUUUGCUAUGUGCAGUGGUGGCAAGAGGAUUGGUCACAUCCCAUACAGGGAUUCAAAACUCACAAGAAUAUUACAGUCUUCAGUUGGGGGAAAUGCACGAACAGCAAUAAUUUGUACAAUGAGUCCUGCUCUGGGUCAUGUGGAGCAAUCACGGAAUACACUCUCCUUUGCGACAAGUGCAAAAGAAGUUACAAAUAAUGCACAUGUGAAUCUGGUAUGUUAGCAAAAAAUUUUGGUUUAAAUGAUUCACCACUGUGUUGCAUAUUAUGACGUUGUUUGUUUGUCAAAUAUGGUCAAAAGUUUGUAAAACUUCCACUAAAAGAAUGACUUGUUACUAAACAGAAUUUCAUGGUUUAACCAAUUGCUUACAAAAGGAACAUUUUUCAAUUUUGACGAGGCAGUAUUAUCAAAAUUGUCCCAACUUCUUGUGGAAUCUAAUUCUACUCCGGAUGGAAACCUUGAAUUUGAAUAACUGAUCACAUGGAUUUCACUGUGUAUUUCUUAUCAUUUUUUCCAGCAGGAUCUAACCAUGCCAGCUCAAGUUUAUUUUGAUCAAUGAAAUGAAGUAGAAAUAAGUAGGUUCUUCUAUCUUCAAAAACUGAAUUCUUAUAACACGAACUGAAAGUGCAACUUCCAAUGAAAAUAUUAAAUAGAUAAAUGAACUUUCAGCUUUACCAUGUUAGAUAUCUAAUUGGAGUGGGAAUAUUUACCCUAAGGACUGAGUUUGACUUAUUUACUUUGUUAAUUGGACUCUUGAGUUUGGUUUGAUUGGCUGCAAAGGAAAUGCAGAUGGCCACACUCUUAUGAACUAAUAUAUUACACUAGAAAACUUGGGGAUGAAUUAGUUCAGUUGACAAACUGAAAUAUCUUGAAAAGUCACAGCCUAUUCUGGUAUUAUGCCUUCUGUAUAUCAAUAUCAUUUCAUGGAUAUUCUCUUUCAUCUUUGCACUAUUCUAGUACACUAUUGGAUACUCUCUUCUGUAUAUCAAUACCUUUGUACUAUUCUCUUUCAUGGAUAUCAAUAUCCUUUCAUGGAUAUUCUUGUUCAUCUUUGCACUAUUCUAGUACACUAUUGGAAAGUUGGGGACGAUUAGUCCAUUUGCUAAACUGAAAUAUCUUGAAAAUUCACGGACCAUUCUAGCAUUAUGCCUUCUGUAAAUGAAGAUUCUUUCAUGCAUACUCUCUUUAUCUUGCUGAGUAGAAGGAUUGUUUGCACUGCUGGGAAGCGUGGCAUAUUUAUUUGGUUCAAGCACAAUGAGCCAUCAAUAUGAUAAAAGUCCUUAGUUUGAAAUUUAUUUCCACUUUUCUAGGUUGUUGCAGAAAAACAAUUAUUGAAGCAUUUGAAGAAGGAGGUGGCAAGACUUGAAGCAGAGCUCCGAAGUCCUGAACCAUGUGGCUCCUCGUCUUUAAGGUCCUUACUAAUUGAGAAGGAAAUGAAAAUCCAGCAGGUAGACUACAAAGAGCUCUUUGGGUAGAUGUUAAUGCUAAGUGUGCAGUAAACCAAGACACUUUCAGAUGGUUUUUGGUCAAAUUAUUGUUUCACUUCUGUUUCUCAGAUUGAUUGCAUGACACCCAAUGUUAGUGGUGCAUUUAGGAAUGUGCUAUAUACAUACACUUGAAUGAAGGCACAAGUUUUAAUAGCAAAAGUUUUAAAUGCAGAUGGAGAUAGAAAUGAAUGAGCUGAAACGCCAAAGGGACAUUGCAGAAUCCCAGCUUGAAUUAGAAAGAAAAGCACACAAGGAACCAAAGGGAUCAAAUCAGCACGGUCCGUCUCGUCGUGUAGUUAAAUGUCUUUCUUAUACUUCUGAGAACGAGUCAGUUUCUGGAGGGCCUCUUCCAAAAAUCCAGCCCAGGAACUUAACUGGAAGGCAAUCACUGGUUAGACAGUCAGCUACUUCUUCAUCCAUGCUGGUGCAUGAGAUUCGAAAAAUUGAGAUGAGCCAGAGGCAGCUUGGUGAGGAAGCGAACCGUGCACUUGAUUUACUUCACAAGGAGGUUGCUUCUCACAGAAUUGGUAGUCAAGAUGCUAAUGAAGCUCUGGCAAAGCUGCUUGUAGAAAUUAAGGAGAUGCAGGCUAUCGGUUUAGUUCCCGAAACUAUUGAGAUUAAAGACAAAGGUAGCUUGAAAGAAGAGAUUGCCCGAUUGAACACUCAGGAGACUAAUAUUGCAUCUCUAGAAGAAAAGCUUGAGAAUGUUCAGAGAUCCCUAGAUAAAUUAGUGACGUGUUUUCCAAGUGGAAAGGGGACUCCUGAUUUGAGGACUUCAGCCAAAAAGAAAAAAGGUCUUCCAUUUACACUGAGCAAUUCACCUAACAUGCCAAACAUGAUAAGAUCUCCAUGCUCACCUGUGGAACCAGGGAUUGAAAAUAGAGCCCCAGAGGCUAACAAUCUUUCAUCUGGUAGUGAUGGCUUCUACCUUCGAGAGAGCACUCCUCGUAGAAAUCACGAAGCUAACAAUAUCUCAUCAGCAGAGACUACCCCUGCACCAAAGCAUUCAACCUCUGUUGGUGUGAAGAAAAUGGAAAAGAUGUUCAAGAAAGCGACUGAGGAGCACAUCCGGAGUAUACGAACUUACGUCACAGGGCUUAAAGAACGUGUCGCAAAGCUGCAAUACCAGAAACAGCUUCUGGUUUGCCAGGUAAGAUUUAUUAACUUCAGGCUGUUCUUCUUCUCUUUUGGUUAAAUGAGGUUCUUAUUUAUAUGAACUUAAGAGCGGCGGAAAAUGACUCAACUGGUAUGAGAACAUGUUGAACCAUUCAACUUCCCAUUUCUUGUUUAUACAUAAACAUGGAUAUAUUAGGAUAAAGCUGGUAAUGAUAAAAGUACUUGAGUUUGAAAUGGUCUGCCAUGAAAUUUUAUUGUAUCAUAAUGUUGUAUGGGCUUGAGAAAAAAGCAAGCCUUUAAUAGCUGCGGGCACGUGGUGUAUUUUGUUUUUCAGUUGUUCUUUGAACAAAUGUUUGGUACCAUUUUAAUAUCAUUGGCAGCAGCAUCUGCCAUAAGUAUUAGUAUCUGAGCUUUGGAAUCUGAAUCAUUUUUCUCCGCUCCCAGUCUCUUUCUUUUGGGUAUUGCAUUCUUCACUGAAUGAGUUUCUUAUCUUUCUAUGGUCACUUUUUACCAUAUUUGUAUUAGGUGUUAGAGCUGGAGGCAAAUGAAGCUGCAUCUGAUGGACCCGAUAAUAUUGAAGAAUCUAGCAUCUCAUGGCAAUCAAUGUUUGAAGAACGAAGGAAGCAAAUUGUCAUGUUGUGGCAUUUAUGCCAUGUGUCAAUCAUACACCGCACUCAAUUUUAUUUGCUGUUUAAAGGGGAUCCUUCAGAUCAGAUAUAUAUGGAAGUUGAACUUAGAAGGUUGACAUGGUUGGAGCAGCAUUUGGCAGAUCUUGGUAAUGCAAGUCCAGCACUUUUAGGUGAUGAUCCUGCAAGCUUUGUGUCAUCAAGGUAUGUUAGAAGCGUUUCAGAUUGACUACUAUACAUGCGGGCAUGCAAGUGGUGUAGUUUUAUACCUUUUCUAGUUGAUUUUUUCUUGUCUAAGUGCUCUAUUACUUGCUUUGAAAUGCAGCAUCAAGGCCCUUAAGCAAGAGAGGGAAUAUCUAGCAAAGAGGGUGAGUACAAAGCUGACUCCAGAAGAAAGGGAAAUGCUAUACUUGAAAUGGAACAUCCCACCAGAAGGGAAAGGCAAAACAAAGAGGAGGCUGCAACUUGUAAAUAAACUGUGGAUGGACCCUCUGAAUAUGCAACAUAUAAAGGAAAGUGCUGAAAUUGUUGCAAAACUCGUGGGGUUCUGCGAAACUGGUGAGCAUGUCUCCAAGGAGAUGUUUGAGCUCAAUUUUGUCUCCCCUUGUGACAAAAAGACUUGGAUCGGUUGGAACUUGAUAUCCAAUCUCUUGCACUUGUAAUCACCAACCUGUUAUUAGUGCUUCGAAUUCCACUCAAGUUUCUGAGAUCAUAGCUCUGACCAACCGUUUGUAUAGAAUGUCUGCCUGUCUAUCUGUCUGUAUGGUCUUAACUCCAGCUUUUGUAGCGGUAACAGUUCAAAAUAGAUGAAUGAAGAAAGCCCGUUUCCAGAACAGAAACGAGUGCUUGAAAAAUGCCCGUUUUUCUUCUUUUCUUGGGCUCAAGUGUCUGUUUUUUGUGGAAUGAUCAUCACAUAGUUGAGCCUUCAAGUGACUUUACUCCCAAGUACGGGAUAGCUCCAGAUGUUGUUUGGACUCUGGACUAAAGAGUUCCUUGACAGCGCAAAGGCGUGAAGAUGAUGUGCUGCUUUGCCUGGUUAAACCAGUAAAAAAAACCAUGACCUGAAAAGAGGCGCAUCUCCUUUCAAAUGAGGGACAAUAAUGUCUACUGGAAUAAAAAAGGGGGAAGAAAAAAAAAAAAAUAUAUAUAUAUAUAUAUAGUUGUCCCCACUCAUAAAAAAUGUGAGCUAUAAGACAUGGUUAAACAAUUAAGAUUCAAAAACUCGUUUGAAGGUGUCAUUUGUUCAUAAACUUGGAAUGUGUGUAAUUAUAAAAUUAGAUGUUUAAUCGAUUAAUCAAUUAUUGAUCAUACAACUCACUGAUAAAGGGUAAACCAAAACUAAUCUUAUCUAUAAUAAUUUACUACUAAUCUUUUUUCAGUACUGGAAUAUAUUCAAUAUUCAUCCUCCUUUUUUUUUGUUUGUUUUGUAGAGAAAAAGAAAGUAAAAAAAAAAAAGAAAAGAAGAAGAGAGACGCAGUAUAUAUUGGAAAAAAGUGAAGGGCAAAUGAGUCUUUUCAGCAAGUUAAAUAUGUCCCCAGUGUUAUGUUAUCAGCAGCUGCCCUAAAACCUCUUGAACGCUACCCGCAGUGCAAACUUCGGACGUAAGAUUACCUGCUGAACUACGUCGUAUUAUACACCUCCUCCGACCAUCUUGAUAUUUCAUGGGAAGAGAAAUUAGCAGCGGCGGACAAAAAUCCUCCUCUUCGUCGUCGGCGGGGAUGUCGUACACGGUGGAGCAGCUCGUCGCCGUCAAUCCUUACAACCCUGACAUUCUCCCCGAUCUCGAAAACUUCGUCAAUGAGCAGGUUCUCCUUUUUUUCUUUUGGUUUUCUGAUGAUGAUGAAUAAGGGAAAAAAAUUCUUAUCUUUAUUUAAUCCAAUAACUAAGGUUUAUUUUGAAUGUUGAAACUAUAAAAACAUGUAUUUUUAGGUAUCUUCCCAAACGUACAACUUGGAUGCUAACCUCUGCCUUCUCCGCCUCUAUCAGGUUAGCCUACCGCUGCAAUUGGUCUUUAAUAUUUGAUUUUUAUAUUGUAAUAAUGCUGAAGUGAUUUUAGAAUCAUGAAAAAUGAACUACUUUUAAUGUUAUUAAAAACGGUUUCUUUUUUGCGGAUUUUGUAGUUUGAGCCGGAGCGAAUGAGUACUCAGAUUGUUGCUCGCAUUUUGGUUAAGGUAAAAAAAAGUUAGAAAACUAUUAACCUUUUGUUUUAUUUCAAAUUUCAUAGUUUUGGUCAACUAAUCAUUUAUCUAAUAUCGUUGAACUUUGUAAUAAUGAACAGGCACUUAUGGCAAUGCCGGCUCCUGAUUUCAGCCUUUGUCUCUUCUUAAUUCCUGAGCGAGUGGUACCUUUUGAUAGACUUUAUCUUUUUUUUUUUUUUGGCACGUUCUUUUUCUUUUUGCAACUUUGUCGAGUUGGGAAAGAGAAUAUGGAAGCUGUUGUAAACAAUGUUAAUGUUGGUUUCUUUUUAUUCUUUGGGUUUAUGAAAGUAGUCAUUCUCUUAUUGCUGUAUGAAGGAAUUGUGUUGAUUGGAAGAAGGUCACGUGUCAAAAGUAAUCGGGAAAAGUUGAAGCUUUACAAUUAUGAGAAAGUCUUCCAAUUAAAAUUUUAUUUUCUGGUGUACUUUUGAGUUUUUGUUGUUCCAGCUAAAUAUUUGGUUUACAAGUUACUUUCAAGUCGGUUCUAGUUCUUCCUUUUGUGAGAUCUAGUGAGGCAAGUUUAUCUUAGCUCGUUUGUUCCAGUUCUCUUUGCUGUUAAUUUGCUCUGUAAUCUUUUGUUUAUUGUUGUAUUAUUCCAUUGAUACCUGGGUUGUCUACUUAUCAUGUGCAGCCAAGGCAUUUCCCAUCAUGUACAGGGAUUGUCCACUUAUUCAAAGUUCUAGUUGAAACUUGUUUCAAUCAAAUGGUUCAGUGAACAAUGAGAAAAUCGACUAGUAAGAAACAAAAGAAUUAUAUCAGUGUUAAGGCCCUUAAACAUAAGAAGAUGCUUCAAUAAUUGUAAAGUUAGGAUGGUAGCAUCUUAUGUUGCUCCUCGUUUUGAAGUGGGACGGUUAGUCUUGAUGAUUGAAAUGAGAAGCUUUUGCUUGUAUCUCUGCGUGGUUGGAUGGAUGGUCCUGGGGUAUAUGUUGGGGUUAAGUGGGAGGGAAGGGGUUUAGGCUGAGUGGCUCCGUGCAGAUGAGUUUAAUUGGGACUUUCUUGCUUAACAAUGCAAACUAAUUUGGCUUCUAGGUGGACAAUUUCCACUUGAAACUGCUAGGUGCCAAUUUCGUGGGGAGGUUAGAAAAUCUCUAUUACGUGAUCUUGGCUUGGUAUGCUAGUAGCUAAGAUUGUUAUAUAAAUCUCCUGUAGCUGGCAGGCUUUGAACAGCCCUUUUAUUUAGGAAAUCGUGGCAUACGCCUUUUGCAGCACAUUUGUGGUCAAACUUUGUUGAAGAAAUUAGUAAUUGAAUAAAAUACUUGUCAUCGGAAUUAUUUCAGGCUCUUUAUGCAGGAGUCUAAACUAUGCAUGAGGUGGUUGCUGUUCUGGAAAUAGACUAUCUUUUUCUAAACAGUUUUAUUUGAUCAUCAACUCAUCUCAUCUGAAUUGGCAGCAAAUGGAGGAACAGUUCAAGACGUUAAUUGUGCUUUCGCACUAUUUGGAGGUACACUUUUACCUCAGACCCUGGCAUAUAUUUUUUAUUAAACAGAUUAUAGAUCAGAAUUUUGAUUCAUAUUCUGCUGCAGACUGCAAGAUUCCGUCAGUUCUGGGAUGAAGCUGCUAAGAGUCGGCAUUUGUUAGAAGUUGUGCCAGGUAUGUCAUAAUGUCUAUGUAAGUUGUAGCAUGUAAGUCUAUGGUUGGUGGUUUCAUUUAAUGAGUAUGCAAAGCAGUACAUGGUUACGAGUCUCAAACUGCUGGAAUCAUCUUAAUAAUCUGUCUUGCUGUUUUUCACAUUCUGUAUUCUGUUGCCUCUUCCCCAGCUUGCUUCUGGCUCUUAUAUUUUACUUCUGCAAUGUAAGCUUUUGGUUGUCUGUAUACUCCUGUUAAUGAGGACGCAACUGCAGGUUUUGAACAAGCAAUUCAAGCAUAUGCAAUUCAUGUCCUCUCCUUGACUUACCAAAAAGUUCCAAGGUCUGUCCUUGCUGAGGUAUGGUUCGCUUCUGAAAAUUGCUUUAUGAAUUUUCCAGUUGUUCUUUUAUUUCAGUAAUGUGACUGCAGAUUUUUGCAAGUUUUUCUUUGUAGAUGUUACACCAAAAAGAAUUACCUAGCUUAUGGCAUCUGGUGCUUAGAUAUUCCCUGAUCCCUGUUAAAGUUUGUCUUGGAUUCAAAUUCCACCACAUGCAUUAUUGCUUUUGCAUCGGUGGUAGAUUUGGUGUUUAAUCUUGUGUUUUAAAACUUCACUUGUUGUUUCGCAAUUCUGCUCUCUCUCUCUCUCUCUCUCUCUCUCUCUCUCAUGGACAUACAUUUCAUGCUUACACCAUAUGAAACGUUUUAUUUGAGUUUAAUCAUAAAAUACUCGUCUGUACUUUUGCCUUGGUAUCAUACAGGCCAUCAACAUAGAAGGUCUGUCUUUGGACAAGUUUGUUGAGCACCAUACAGCAAACUCUGGUUGGGUUGUAGAGAAGGGCCAUGUUAAGAGCCCACUCAUUACACUUCCAAGCAAUGAGUUCAACCGUCCAGAGCUUAAGAAAAAUACUGCAGACGGUGUACCAUUCGAGCAUGUCGCCCGUAUCUUCCCCAUUCUUGGCUAAGUAUUACAGUUCAAUGGGAAGGAAAAUAUCUCAAAAAUGUUGUUUGUUCUAACGGAAUUCUGGUGAUUAAGAUGAAAUGAGUUGUAAAAACAGUUUUGCCCUAUAUUUUAGAUGCUUGAAUUCUUCUUUUGGAGAAAUUUUUAGUUGUUGCCACAUUUCAAACAUUGGUUAAUAAUCUUUAGGGUCUCUUUUUUAUAUUAGGUUUGACAUGUUUGCACUGAUAGAAUCUUAAAAUCCAGGACGACAUAGGCACGGCACCCCCAUUACAGAAUUAUACUUUCUAAUGUUCAAUUAUACUCUCUUGUUUUAAGUUCGAAUUACCCAUCGAUCACACUCUAUCCGAUAAUCUGAAUAGCUUAAAAGAAGAGAAUUAAUUUUUAUCAAACUAAAAUCAAUACAUUAUGUUAAAUCAUCACACUAUGUUGAAUUUUAAACUUAGAUAUAGUCAUAGAGAAAUUUAACAUGUUAUGAAGGAUAAAUUUAAUAAUUUUCCAAAAGAAGAUUUAAACAACUACCUCACAAUUUCCCAACAAACAGUUUUACAUAAAAUAUGGCAAAUAACAAUCUACAAGGCAAACAUGCAUGCCAACUAAAUACAAACUAAACUCACAAAUGUCUAAUUUUUUCUUACCCACUGCCAUCUUUAUUGAUAAAAGAUUGAUGCUAGUCUACCACACAGUACUCCUUGGGGUGUUCUCAGUUGUAAGUCAGCUGUGGAUCGCAAUCCAUAGCAUCGAGAAGCCUACAAGGUCAAUCCUUCACACUUUUGAUGGGGAUACAUUUCAACCCAGGCAGCCAAGGAGGCCGACUGAUCUGGCAACCCAAGCAAGUCGCUGAAAAGAAUUGAGCAGAAAGAGUCGCAUAGUGCCAUCCAAUAGAAUAUUGUUUUCGCUGGUUUAACGCUAGAAUGGUACCAAUCAUAACUAAAUUCUUCAGAUGCCUAUCAAACACACAUACGAGAAACAAAACCUUCACACAGACUAAGAAUGCCUACCUUUAGCAGUGUUUGGCCAAAAAGAUUUACCAUUAUUUUUUUGCCCGUCUUGAAAUUUCUUCACCUUGGCUGAUCUUUUCUUAUGCUCCUUCGGAACCGAAGUAAAAUUUUAAGUCGAAACCACAAAAUCAAAACAUAAACUGUCCUACCAAAAGUUUAUUUAAGAGCUUAUUCGCACGAUAAAUUUUGAUAGAUUCAAAAAUAAAUGGACAAAACAAAUCAAUGGCCUAAAACUGCAAGAGACAGGAGCUCCAAUGAGUUGGAUCAUAUUUACACCACUGCAACUAAGAACCGGAGGAUUAGUUGUUGAAGAAAAUAACUACAACGAAGUUGAUGAGAAAGAGCUCCAAAAGAAUCUUUAAAAUUGUUGAUGGCUAUUUACUCGGUGUACGCUAAUGUAUCAGGCUCCGACCGAAGUUUAGACGAUCGAAUUCAUUCUGCAAAUCAGACGCAUGGGCAGAGAGGAAUAAUUUCCAGAAGCUCGUCAAACAAAAGAAUGCAGGCACAACAGCUCUUUUACUCGUUUCUUCAACUCAUUUUAGACCUGCCACUGACACCUCAACUCUGCCCCCACAAACAGCUCUUCACCCACCCCCUCCAUUCUUCCCUUUCCUCUAUCAUAAACCCAGUGACCAGUGCCUCCCUCCAUUCUUCCCUUUCCUCUUAUCAUAAACCCCAGUGACCAGUGCCUCUUUUAAGUAUAUCUGCAAAAUGCAUACAUCCAUGCAUGAAAACUCAACAAGAACCUCAGUGACAGAGAGUUUCUCCAUACGUCACCCAAUGUACAAAACAAUCUGAAAAUUCCUCAUGAACCUCACUACCAUAGCUAUCAUCAUAGCACAACUCAGUUCCAGUCUGGUCCCUACCCUGCACAGAGAACAAAGUUUCCAUUAGAAAUCAAAGGUAAAGUAACCAUUUUCUAGAAUUUAUAUGCCAUUUAUUAUAAGAGUUGACAAAUUAGAGAGGUAUUGUUAAUAGAUGGCAACGUAUUUAGCACAGAUGAUUCUUUGAAUCAUUUGCAACAUUAGGAUGAUACUGAUCAUUGAGUCGAGUAGAAAACCUAAUUUAUUCAACCUGCAUAACACAACCGUUGAAAGAAUGUCUUUUCUAUUUCAAAUCUCAUCUCUGCAUCUUUAGAAGAUAUAUGUCUCGAAAAAGUUUUUCCAUAGGUCUACGAGAUAGCCAGAUGAAUCUUAAUUCUAAAAGAAGUUUUGACAUCAAUUUGUUCACUGAACAAAUUCCCGCCACCACCCUGGGAAAAAAGAAUAGAAGGGGUAGAGAAGGAAAAAUGAAUUUGUUAUGAAGCCAGCUGUGGCAGUAGUUCACAGUAAAUCCGCAUGUAGCAUAAGCAGUUUCACAAGCCCAUGACUGGCAACACAAUCCUUGUAUCUAGUGGAUCAAUUUUUAAAGUAGGGUACGUGCAGAUAAAGCAAUUGCAUUAUUAUCUAAUUGAGGUGUUUUGAUUAUAGUAACCAAGUUACACAUUUGAAAUCCUAUAAACUUUUUUGCAUUCACGUCUUGAAAUAAUUUUUUAGUUCAUUGAGCAAGCUAAUUGCAAAGAGAGCAACGAAUACCAACCUUCAUGCUAGAUCCGCACUCACUGAUUGCUGGGGUUGCUUCCCCUGCCAAAUCACUGACAACAUUAUCUGAUGAAAGUCCAGCAAUUGGAGAUGUAAGCAGUGACCUACAACCAUGGAAAUUCAGUGAGUCUCCCAACAAAGAGAACAAAAGAAGAAAAGAAUGAACUUCUCACAAUAGAAGGCAAUCCAAGUUUUGUUGGAGACUGAUGUGUCAUUUGCGUUGACAAAAUAAUUCAAUCUCGAGCCUUCAGCUUUUUCAAGACCCAUAAAACUCUCAAUUGGCAAAUGAAGAAAAACCAUUCAAUCAAAUUUGAUUUUUUUUUUGGGCAAUCUUACCAUGACAAUCAAAUAUGAGAAAGAUUAUAACAAAUAACAAUAGGAGUAAAUGAUGCAUGUCAACUUCUUCGUGUUGAUCAGUAGAAUUAGUGAAGUUGCUGGAAAAGCAUCAGAAGUAGUGGACUUCAGAAAGUCAUUCAAUAUGAGGUUGGAGAAGACAAUAGAAUGGGGAUUUAAUAAGAUAUGCUGUGGUAAUGAAUGAUGUAUUUACCCUCCAGUAUUGAUUGUAUUAAGGCAAACUAGUUAAAAGCGUGAAAGAAGGCCAAAAAGGGAGGAUGGUCCAGCAAUCAAUCCUUAGGUGGAAGAUUCAUGAUUGGAAGUAGACAGCAGAAAAUUUCUACGACCAUAAUAAAAGAGGUAAGCUCUUCAGCGGAAUGGGAUAGAGUAACAAACUUAUUGAGUUCUUUAUAGCUACACAUUCAAAGAGAAACGACUAAUAAAUUCUAGGAGGUACAAACUGAAUACAUGAUAUAUAGACAGGAAGCUCGGCAAGUGAUAAACUGAGGAAGAGAAAAUGUCUAUGCAAGUUAGUCUCCUUGUUCUCGUUCAUUGUUGGUUACGUGAGGAUUGAUUCCUGUGAUGUAUAAGCAAUAUCUUCCUACCACAGGUAUGAAAAACAUAGAACAAUGAAGAUUUUCUGAUGUCUCAAGAAGUCUAUCAACUUUUCAGCACAUGCGAACUGACUCUUCCCUCAAGAAGAGAAGGAUAGAUGAAUGUAGUAGUCAGUCUUGUUUGAGGAAAAGAAAAGAUGAGAAACCACAAGUUUCAAUGCAGAACUAUCAUUCUAGAAUUCUUAGGAGCUUCAAAUUUGGAACUGUGCUAUUAGGUGACCUAUGCCAUAAAUUUAUGUGCCAACUUUUAUACAACUCAAUUGUUCUACAAAUACAAGAGUUAACUUACACAUCUUGCCUCUUUGCAAUAACUAUGGGACAAUAUAGACUGUUCUCCACUGAAGUAAUAACUUAUUGCCUUGUAAGCAAAAUCAAAUUUUCAUGGAAAAAAAAAAAAGAACAGUAACUAUUGUUAAUCUAUUCUUCAACAGCUUCAGCUAAGCCCGGCAAGGAUUAAUCAAAGAAAACUAACUACCAUGAUGGUGUAAUAUCACUUUAUCUUUUCUUGAUCCUUACUCCAGAAUAAACAACAUAAGCUUGAACAAAAGAGAGGUUCCAAGAAAUUCUGCAAACUAAAAGUUCAAAACAUAUUAAUCACUCUAAUAAUUUAUCUAUAUAUUAGCAAUGCAUCAAAAAUAGUCCUAAAAUCACCUCUCCAAUAUCUCUUCUUCACAUGAAUUUCCAGAGGAAGAUAGCCAAUCCAAAUCAACAAAAUUUGAACAGUCAUAAGAAUCUCCAUUUUCAUUUUCCUGACAUCUGUCUCUUGGCAAAUCUUCGAAAAGUUCCCUCACAGGCAUUGAGGGUGUAUACCUGCAAAAGAACACCCAAAGAAGACAGAUUGAAUCACAACUCCAUGCAAAUGUGGUGGAUAGAGAGGUGGCGGGAGGGGGAGAGAGAGGAGAGUGAGUUGAGGCAAAUGUGGUGGAUGAGACAUGCCAAAAUUCUUUUUGACAUGUGGAGUCACUAAAUCAAUAGGAAAAGAAGAACAUAUAAUAAUUCUGUCUUCUGUGGGGGGCAACAAGAAAAAGAAAAAUUGAUCUAUUACUUGUGAAAAUAAGAGUACUCAUAAGCUACCAAUAUUCUGGAUAGCAGGCAAUGAAAUAUUGAAUAAAAGACCUGCCAUAUCUCAAAGUAAAUAGAAAACAAUGUCAAUAUUUGUAACAACACAACAACAAAGUUCAACACAGCCUUCGGCUCAUGAAAGAAUCCUUUUGGUCUCAAAAGAUGAUAAGAAAGACACAGGUUUAAAAAAUUACUGAAGUUUAGCAAACAAAGGUGCACCUCAAAUGUGAUAACUCGUUUUCACAAGUUGGUAUAUUGGGUGUUGACUCAGAGAGAAUAUUGCUCCCUCCUUCAGGUGUAUCAGGCAAAGAAUUAGAAAUAUCUUUGCUCAUGUUAGAGGUGGAUACAGGAGUGUGAGUUUCUCGAAGAAUGUUUCCAUCUGAUAAAGAUCUUUUAAACAGUGACCUGCAGACGCAAAAGAUGAGAUUAUAACCUAAAGUGUCGUUGAAGCAACCAAUCACAAAAAUGUACCCAAGGGAAGCUUGUGCGCAGAAAAAAGGCAUCACAUUCUUGGGCAUUAAGCAUUUAUAAUCCAUACAGCCAAGAGACAGUUGGAAUUCAAUGCAACAAUUUUCUUAUCUUUCAUAGAAUAAGUUGCAGUUCAAAAGUCCACAAUAAUCACAGCAGAAUAUGUCCCAAUAUGGUCAUACCUUCCAUUUUUAUCAAUAUUUGAUUGCCCAUUCCUACUUUCCCUGUAAAGCUGGUCAGAAUUCAGCUCCCAGACUUCAGGUUUGCCUGGUUGAGGCUGAAAAUGCCCUAAGAAUCUGCAAAAUACCAUAUUCUGAAAUGAAUGGGACUAGAGGUCGAAAUAGAAAAGACAUCACAAUGUGGUAUUUCAGAUAACUCUUUAACCUGCCUCCAACGAUCAUCAUCUCCUCCCACUUGGAUUUAACUCCAAGAAAGUGCAUAUGAUAUAACUGACUAUUAAGAGGGGAAGACAAAAAUGGAAAGAAUCUAACAUGUAAAUGAAAUGGACUUACACAUUAAUGGCAUUUUGUUUUUCUGCGUCCAUGUAAGCAUUGCUGUAAUACCGUUGUAGAGUCCUGAAAAACUCUUGGGACUGGGUGGCUGCCUUCCAUUGACCUCUUCGCUGAGAGAAAAUCUACGUAAAACCAAGCAUUUCAAUGUACAGCUCAUAAAAAAACUAAUUACUCCUGAAAUCAUUACUCAAAAUCAGAAGACGAGAUUGAAAUGUGGACUUCUUCCUCCUAAAUGUAACAAAUACGCCAAAAAAAAAACACUAAGGAUACUGUGCCUGUGUGUUUAUUGGGCAAUAGUCCAAAGGGCAGAACUAUCACUGUUUCUGUCCCAUAUGAUACAAUUAUCAAACUUCACAUCUAAAAAGAGAAAGGGUUUGAAAGCUCUUGUGACACAGUCCAUAACAUUCCGUCAUCGUAAUAACGGGUUGCUAUUGCUGGUUGUUUCUUCUUGAGUAGCAGGUAAAUGUGAAACAGCAAAAGUCUCAAGUCACCCUAGUAAUAAGUGAUCUCCAGUAGAACCACACAUCAUCCUACCUUAUUGUGAGCAGCUGAGCCACCAUAUUGAUGAGCAAGUGUAUCACCCAUUCUUUCAUAGAAGCCCAUCAAUUCAUCAGCCAAGGGAUCAUCAAGGUCUAUUUUUGUGGAAUUUAUUAUUCCCAGAGCUCGCAGUUGAUGUCCCAAAGCAGCCAAUCCGUAUGCAUAUUGUGCCACAUUAGUACGAUCCAAACAAUCUAUGCAGUUUGUCCUGAGCACUCCCUUUUGAAGAAUUGGCGGCUUACCAAAACCACCACCAUUAGCCACAUUGUUCCCGGUACAUAAUCUUCUGUC
RNAcentral lists this long non-coding RNA (20211 nucleotides) under Coffea arabica (coffee). RNAcentral describes it as "long non-coding RNA (CARA_LNC004041)". The record is from RNAcentral. Lineage: Eukaryota; Viridiplantae; Streptophyta; Magnoliopsida; Gentianales; Rubiaceae.